GGCGCUCGGCCGCCGAGUCCGCAGACCUGUGGAGCCGGGGACCCACCGUUCCUGGGGUGAAUCGGACGCCAGCCAGACUGCGCCCGUAGGGCACUUCCAGUCCCGAACCCGUCAGCUAACCCGGUAGGCGGCAUGGAAGCAAGGA
This 145-nucleotide small RNA is filed under the name Nonomuraea sp. RNAcentral's name for it is "c-di-AMP sequence". It matches the Rfam family "c-di-AMP riboswitch aptamer (ydaO/yuaA leader)". From Rfam's summary of the family: This family represents a conserved RNA structure found upstream of the ydaO and yuaA genes in Bacillus subtilis and related genes in other bacteria. The ydaO/yuaA element is thought to act as a genetic "off" switch for the ydaO and yuaA genes in its native state. It is believed that the element may be triggered during osmotic shock leading to activation of ydaO, a predicted amino acid transporter gene, and members of the yuaA-yubG operon which code for KtrA and KtrB K+ transporters. The record is from RNAcentral. RNAcentral also lists the same sequence under 1 other name. Lineage: Bacteria; Bacillati; Actinomycetota; Actinomycetes; Streptosporangiales; Streptosporangiaceae.